UACGUAGGUGGCAAGCGUUGUCCGGAUUUACUGGGCGUAAAGGGCGUGCAGGCGGUUUGCUAAGUCUAGGGUGAAAGCUCCCGGCUCAACUGGGAGAGGUCCUUGGAUACUGGCGAACUUGAGGGAUGCAGAGGAAAGUGGAAUUCCCGGUGUAGUGGUGAUAUGCGUAGAUAUCGGGAGGAACACCAGUGGCGAAGGCGGCUUUCUGGGCAUUUCCUGACGCUGAGACGCGAAAGCGUGGGGAGCGAACCGG
This 253-nucleotide ribosomal RNA is filed under the name uncultured Chloroflexota bacterium. RNAcentral describes it as "uncultured Chloroflexi bacterium partial 16S ribosomal RNA". It matches the Rfam family "Bacterial small subunit ribosomal RNA", at positions 524 to 776 of the family's 1533-position model. The record is from RNAcentral. Lineage: Bacteria; Bacillati; Chloroflexota.